GUGGGGAAUAUUGCGCAAUGGGCGAAAGCCUGACGCAGCGACGCCGCGUGAGGGAUGAAGGUUUUCGGAUCGUAAACCUCUGUCAGAAGGGAAGAAACUACAUUGUGCUAAUCAGCAGUGUACUGACGGUACCUUCAAAGGAAGCACCGGCUAACUCCGUGCCAGCAGCCGCGGUAAUACGGAGGGUGCAAGCGUUCAUCGGAAUUACUGGGCGUAAAGCGCACGUAGGCUGUAGUGUAAGUCAGGGGUGAAAUCCCACGGCUCAACCGUGGAACUGCCGUUGAUACUGCACAACUUGAAUCCGGGAGAGGGUGGCGGAAUUCCAGGUGUAGGAGUGAAAUCCGUAGAUAUCUGGAGGAACAUCAGUGGCGAAGGCGGCCACCUGGACCGGUAUUGACGCUGAGGUGCGAAAGCGUGGGGAGCAAACAGGAUUAGAUACCCUAGUAGUCC
Molecule: ribosomal RNA, 450 nt
Filed under: uncultured bacterium
Lineage: Bacteria
Description: partial 16S ribosomal RNA
Rfam family: Bacterial small subunit ribosomal RNA
Source: RNAcentral